CUGCUGCCUCCCGUAGGAGUCUGGUCCGUGUCUCAGUACCAGUGUGGGGGACCUUCCUCUCAGAACCCCUAGCAUCGUCGCCUUGGUGGGCCGUUACCCGCCCACAA
Molecule: ribosomal RNA, 107 nt
Filed under: uncultured bacterium
Lineage: Bacteria
Description: partial 16S ribosomal RNA
Source: RNAcentral